AUCCAGCUGACGAGUCCCAAAUAGGACGAAACGGUCGUUCUGGAU
Molecule: non-coding RNA, 45 nt
Filed under: Schistosoma mansoni
Lineage: Eukaryota; Metazoa; Platyhelminthes; Trematoda; Strigeidida; Schistosomatidae
Source: RNAcentral